CCUCAUGAUCCACCUGCCUCAGCCUCCCAAAGGCGAAAUUCCAUCUUAAAAAAAAAAAAUAACCCACCAAAUACUUGAAUAAAUAACCACUUUAUCAAAUUCAACUUCAUGUUGAAUUAAUCUAAUUAUUGGCAAAUAAACAGAACAUUAUUGAGAGGUUGUCAACAAAUACUGCAAUGACUUUAAAUAAGAGAAAAACCUUAGUCUACAGCCAGAGAGAUGGAUGGUGUCAUCACUUAUGCAAUCAUUUUUCAAUUCCAUUUCCUUGGCUCUACACUAUAAGUAAAUGAAAAACAAAAGAAGAGAUACAAAGUUAUUCAUAUACCUAAGUUAAAAUUUCAGUGAACUAAAUUUUUUCAAUAAAUAUUAAUAAAUGGUCCAUUGCCCAGGGGUUUCAGAAAGCCUUGCUACUGAGGGAAAGGCAGAGUGUUAAAGAAUGCUAUCUAGGCCAAUUUCCCCAGGAGGGCUGAGACAGAUAUGCAAAACCUCUACGGUCCAUCUAGUCAGAAUAACAUACUUCAAUUGCUCUAAGUGUUUCUUUUUU
Molecule: long non-coding RNA, 544 nt
Organism: Sapajus apella (tufted capuchin)
Lineage: Eukaryota; Metazoa; Chordata; Mammalia; Primates; Cebidae
Exons: 2
Source: RefSeq, a predicted model, not a curated record